Long non-coding RNA from Ictidomys tridecemlineatus (thirteen-lined ground squirrel), 1441 nucleotides. RefSeq lists it as uncharacterized. The record is from RefSeq and is a predicted model, not a curated record. NCBI's taxonomy places the organism in Eukaryota, Metazoa, Chordata, Mammalia, Rodentia, Sciuridae.
UACAGGGAAAGAUCUUCAUCAAUCAGCCCAGCUAGAGAUUCUAGGGAUUUCUCACACUUUUUCAGUGAAUUUGUGUUCUCUGGCUCUGUGCACGUCAAUUCUCAAUUAGGGGGAUUUUCUGAUUUUUUAAAGUCAAGAGUUCCUAGUUUCUUGUUCCUACUCAUAUGUAGUUGUAGUAUUGCAAUUUCUCUGGGUCUUCCACAUGACGACCAGCUCUCUUUUUUUUCAGCAGCCCCCAACCUUUUAGAGUAUGCCAGCUCCUAUUAGAGCUUCAAGUCAGAGGAAACAGAAGUUAGUCCUUCAAAAAGCAGAUGUGCCUCUGAUGUCAUCAUACAGUCAAUCAAACUUAUCAGCUUACAGCUUUAAAAACAACAGGAAUGGUUUAAAUUUCUGUACAUGAUAUGCUACUUUAGGAUCGGUUUUCACUAUAGUCAAAAAGCUUAUUCACAUUUCUGAGGGAUAUAAAUUUUUGUCUUUUCUCACAGGUUGACUUUAUGAUUUCUAUCCAAAUUAAUUUUUAUUUUCCAAUAGAUUCACCACCUAUUUUUCAGUUUUAAUGAAUGAUCUAUAAGCAGCUACCUGAAGGAAUCAAUCUUGAUUUCCUUGAAUUCUUUACUAAAAGGGAUUCCUAUAAGUUUAUUGUAAUCUGUUUGAAAGUUUGGGUUUCUGUGAAGUGAGGAUUUGUGACAGAGGCUUCCCUGUAAUGGAUGAAAUGUUCCCAGGCCAUCAACUGUAAGAUCUGUUCAUACAAUUGCCUGUGGUUAGUUUUAGUCAAGUAGAGCCAUUGAUGAGAACAAAUUUCUUUUCUGCAGUUUAAUAAAAGGACUAGGGGAAAUGCUCUCAAAAAAUACAGAAAAAAAAAAAGAAAGAAAUGUUUUAUUCCCUAGGUAUUGCCAUUUGAGAAGAGACCAGAACACAAUGGCCAAACUGAAGAAUGGAUGUCAUUGAAAGGAGAAAUCUGGGCCAGACCAGCCUGGGGCAUAAGGAAUUGUGUGGAUCCAACCCUUCUGAAUAUCACUUAAAAGAUUAUUCUGCACCGACUGUCUUAGGUCCCUGGAAUUCACUCAGUCUCAGAUAAACCAGCAUGGUUGGCACCCUCAGUCCCUGUGUUACUGGAUUGGGUCUCUGGUAUGUGGAGCCAAGAUGCCCAGACUGGGGUCUGGAUGUAUCCAUGUCUAUCUACAUUCAGAGAUGAGGAAACUGAUGCUCAGAGAAGCGAAGCAGUUCCUCUUCGUGAGUCUAAGAAUUGAGAAAUGAACCCAAGUCUGUUUGAUUCCAGUACUGCUGUACUAAAGACACAAGGACCAGCGAUUAAAGGACCCCACCCAGGAUCCCAGCCUUAAAAGGGUUUUAAAUAGGAAAGGUAGCAGAAUACAACAGUCAUUAACAUGGUAUUAUGUAAAAAUGUGGAUGUGUAACCGAUGUGAUUCUGCAACUUGUA